Molecule: ribosomal RNA, 918 nt
Filed under: uncultured bacterium
Lineage: Bacteria
Description: bacterial SSU rRNA
Rfam family: Bacterial small subunit ribosomal RNA
Source: RNAcentral
GGAUCCAGACUUUGAUCCUGGCUCAGGACGAACGCUGGCGGCGUGCCUAACACAUGCAAGUCGAACGGAACUUUUUUAAAAGAUUUCUUCGGAAUGAAUUUGAUUAAGUUUAGUGGCGGACGGGUGAGUAACGCGUGAGUAACCUGCCUCUGAGAGGGGAAUAACAUUCUGAAAAGAAUGCUAAUACCGCAUAAUGUAUAUUUAUCGCAUGGUAGAUAUAUCAAAGAUUUAUCGCUUAGAGAUGGACUCGCGUCCGAUUAGUUAGUUGGUGAGGUAACGGCUCACCAAGACCGCGAUCGGUAGCCGGACUGAGAGGUUGAACGGCCACAUUGGGACUGAGACACGGCCCAGACUCCUACGGGAGGCAGCAGUGGGGGAUAUUGCGCAAUGGGGGAAACCCUGACGCAGCAACGCCGCGUGAAGGAUGAAGGUCUUCGGAUUGUAAACUUCUUUUAUUAAGGACGAAGAAAGUGACGGUACUUAAUGAAUAAGCUCCGGCUAACUACGUGCCAGCAGCCGCGGUAAUACGUAGGGAGCAAGCGUUGUCCGGAUUUACUGGGUGUAAAGGGUGCGUAGGCGGCUUUGCAAGUCAGAUGUGAAAUCUAUGGGCUCAACCCAUAGCCUGCAUUUGAAACUGCAGAGCUUGAGUGAAGUAGAGGCAGGCGGAAUUCCCCGUGUAGCGGUGAAAUGCGUAGAGAUGGGGAGGAACACCAGUGGCGAGGGCGGCCUGCUGGGCUUUAACUGACGCUGAGGCACGAAAGCGUGGGUAGCAAACAGGAUUAGAUACCCUGGUAGUCCACGCUGUAAACGAUGAUUACUAGGUGUGGGGGGUCUGACCCCUUCCGUGCCGGAGUUAACACAAUAAGUAAUCCACCUGGGGAGUACGGCCGCAAGGUUGCAACUCAAAUGAAUUGACGG